This 235-nucleotide long non-coding RNA is filed under the name Vigna radiata. RNAcentral's name for it is "long non-coding RNA (VRAD_LNC001067)". The record is from RNAcentral. Lineage: Eukaryota; Viridiplantae; Streptophyta; Magnoliopsida; Fabales; Fabaceae.
AGGCAUUAAGAAAAACAAGACCCNUGCUGCACUUUUCCAACUCCAAGAAAAGAAUUGAAAUGUUUCUUUAGGUGCCAACUGCUCCAACAAAGUUAACCUUCGUCCAAGACCACAAAUGCAUCAACGUUUUCUCUCCUGCCAGACCAAGACAUCACCUUCAUUAAGCUGCACCUGAUGCUCUUCCAUCUAAUCACCUUCAUUCUAAAAGAAACAGUGCUAACAUCCAAUGAAAAAC